GACCAGAAGGGGAGGAGCCUGGCUCCACCCCUCCUAGACACCAUUUAAGGGCUGACUCCCAAGGGGGAAGGAUCUCUAUCUAGAGAUCCUCCCUCUUGGAGCCCUUUUGUGAGCCCAAGAUAUGGCUCUUAUUCCCAAUAUGCAUACGCCUCUUCCCUCAAGAUCUCCUGGGUGCAGGCAGGUGAUCAGCACAAUAUGACUCACAACAGUGGAAGACUUGAAGUCAGCAGCAUCCUUCAAGAAGAUUGGACUGGUUUUCAGCUGGGUAGGCUUCUGUCACUGUUGAAGCAAGAAGAUGAAGCAGCGUCCUGUGAAACAGCAGAGUGCCCUGAGGAAGGAAGCUGAAACAUGAAUAGGGCUGUCAUCCCAUACAAGUUGCCUCUUGGCAAGGCUGUGAAGAUGAUGAAUGAUUCAGUGAGACUAGUUGAAUUUAUCCAAGGGAUUUACAAGCUGGUACAUUUUGCUGGACAAGGUAAGAUGUUGGAUGCAUUUUGUUGCAGAUAGAAUCGUUCUUUCUCUCCUGUUUCAAAAUUCCUCAUAGACAGAUCAGCUGGUCAAGCUUCCAUGUCUCAUCUUGACUUUGAAGACAGUCACCAUCUUUGACUGCUGAAUUUCUGAGUAAAAAAUAAUAUAUCGCCAAAAAGAAAACUGCAAACCAACAAGCCCUGCAUCACAAUUGGUAGUGACUGCCACACAAGGAGAUGGUGUAUAGAAGAUGAAGAAAAAAAAAGCAACAACAAAUGAGAUGGUUUCACUUCUUCCUUAGGGAGAACAAGAAUUUACAGACAUAGAAGAAGCACCACUCCUAGUACCACAGAUGCUCUAACAAGGACUCAGGUGUAUCACUUGCUUCAUGUUUUUGAACAGAUUGCUAACUGUAUUCUAAACCUGAACCACCUACUGAAGACCUGCAGGAAAAAAAAAAAAAAAAAAAGUGGAAGAAUUGUGGAUAUCCUAAUUUGAGAGGAGGUUAUAGCACAAUAUUAUUAAGAUCAAACUGCCUCUUGCCUCAAAUCAAGAAGAAAACCACUCUUCUUUGACUAAAGCCAGUUCAGGAACAUUUUCUUCUGUCAAAACUUUCAGCCUGUUCUUCCAAGACAUGUAGAGUCAAAGAAAUGGUCUCACCACCUCCAACCCCAGUGCAGACCUCUUGGUCAGCCUUGUCUGAGAUGACUUAGCAUGGGGUAGUGGGAACUCUUAUCUGGCUCAGUGCUCCUGUUGAUGGUGGAUGAAAUGUUUAUUGUGUUGUUCAUCACAGAGAUCAAAAUGGCUUCUGGACUUUGUGCUGGUCUGUAAGUACAGUUGGGAAUGAACUUUUUACUGCAGGGUAGCAUCUAAUAUUCAGGUAUAGUGAAUACCAUUUGCUUUUGCCCAUCACUGAUGAAAAUUUUGUCCAUCAUUACAUAUAUUGUACUUUGUAAGCCACAGUUUUCACCAUGCUCCUUCUCCACGGUGUAGACAAAACAGAUAAUUCCUCUGAGGUUUAUUCCUAUGCCUGCCUCUUUACAAGUAAAUGCUCUCCUUGCUCUUGUCCUCUUGACAGCAUUGAAAGUUGCUCUGCCAAGAAUGCAGACCGUGGAAGGUUUCACAUGACAAUCAACCUGCAGAGAAAGACAGAACAAAUUGCUUCUUGACGUAUUGGUGCUAUCACCUCUUAUGAAGCAGUAAAUUGCCUUGUAGACCAGGUGAUGUGGAAGUGCAUCUAAAACAUAGAAGCCAGCCAAAUAUAAAGGUCCUCUUUCUUGUCAAAGAUCCAAGAAGGUCUGGCAUCUGCCUCAGUAUCUAAAGCAAAGACUUCCUAUGUACACGGAUGUCAAGCAGUAGAUCUUUGAUGGUGUCUCAGUAGCUGGAGGCAAUGCAUCUGUCUGCUGACUUUAAGUUGUUGCUUUUGCUGAUUUACCUGUUAGCUCCAGCUCUGAAGAAAAGCAGCAUGGCUUGCCUGACACUCUUGGUACAGAAGCUUCUCCAGCAGAGGUUCCUGCCAAUGAGAGACGAGAUCAGCUCACAUCAGAGGGAGGUCACUGGAUUCCUUGAAAAGAAGAGGUGGCUGUGCGUGUCUUCCUGUCCCUAUGCUUUCCUAAGCUACAGGGUAGCACUGAUCUUCCUCAGCAAGUUCAGUGCCUUGAAGCAACAGGAUCCCUGCCAGCCCACCAGGAUAGUGACAUCUGUGCUCCUGCAUACCAGUGUUUGGGAAGUAGGCAUGAUACCUGACAUCCAGCACAGUCAGGAACGAGCCAAAUCAAGAUGGGAAGGAGAGAAACUCUGGAUCUAUAGAGUAAGUAGCCUUAGUUGUUCCAUGUAUGCCUGGCUAAUCUGUCAGUAUUAAGGAAGACACUUGAAUGUUGAAGGAAAACAGAAAGCAAAGAAAAAAUCCCAGUGUCCAAGCGCAUUCUCUUGUAUGCUAUAUGAACAUAUAGUGGGAUUGCCUGGGAUUGGCCUCCCUGGAGGUAUUCAAGGCCAGAUUGGAUAUGGCCUGCCCACAGCAGGGAGUUGGGUCUCAAUAAUCUUUAAGGUCUCUUCCAACCUAGACUAUUCUAUGAUUCUAUGGUUCCAUGUAAAUCAUAGUAUUUUGUAGAAGUUUGUUUUUUCACCAUUUAUGGGGAAAAUUCAAGGUACUGUUCUCAUAAUGAUGAAAUAUUUCACAAUUAUGAGUUGCUUAAGGUAUUGUAAAUGAAUGCUAUGAGCUAUGUGUGUGUGAUAUUUGACAUAUUAAGGAUGCACUAUUGCAACACAGAAUGUCAUAUAAAACCAAAGGGAAGUAAUUCAGAGCAAAAUAUUUUAAAUGAUCUUGUACUGAUUUUUUGUAUAUUUUUUUUUCUCUCUCUUUUUUUUUUUUUUUUAAGGAUUUACAGUUGCAGGAAAUGAUUUUUCCAGGAGUAGCUCUUAUUCUAACUAGGAAUUAGAAUUAUUGAAAUGUUGAAUGGCCUGCAAACAAAAAUUUCAGUUCCCAGCUGACUCUGUCCACUAGUUUAUCAACAUAUUUUUGGACUCCACUGAAACAAUCCACGGCAAAGACAACAGAUAGCCCUAGGAAUUUGUGCAGGCUAUUGAGUCUUUCCAUUGUGGGCUGCUGGUUCAAAUCCUAGUGGACCUGUAGGGGAACAAGGAAAAGCUGAUACCAUGACUUUAGCUGUGUGGUAUGAGUUUUCCUCCCUGGGUAUAGGUGUCAGCAACAGAAUUAGCAUUAAUUAGUCCACUUUGAAAUUUCAGCCAAGGUUUGACAUGGCAAAGUGGGGAAGCCUACUGUGCUGCAGACUGAGCUGUGCUUGCUCUGUGGAUGAAAAUAUAGCUUCCCUUUUCCAGGUCCAGUCCAGGCACUUUUCAUUAAUACUGUCACUGUGAAGCCAUAGGGAAAGCUAAGAGAGCUGCUUAAUAACUAGCAAGAACAAUAGAAGAGUAUCAUCAGACUAGGUAAUUGGUUAGAGAUAGUACCCUGGGAAGACAAGGACUAAAAGCAGUGAACUGCAGCCAGCCACACAAUCCAAGGUAACAGGCAGUGAGCUCUGGAUUAGCAACCAAGGCAACUUUAAUAAUUUAACUGUAGCAUUCACAGUAAUUUAACUAUGCUAUCCAGAACACAAAGCUAAUGGUGAUAUAGUGAAUGCAGGUAAUAUUCAGAAAGUUUGUUAAAUGCCAGUACAUAAAAGAGUCUCCGUGGAGAAGGCCAAUAUUCAGAUUUGUUGCUCUUGUUUUCUUUCUCCUUUUUCUCAGAUAGCAAGCAUUUAGUUUGUGAUAGUUAUUUGCUAGCUAGUAAGGGAAGAUGGGCUGUUUCAGAAGUUCCUAUUGACAGCCAGCUUACAGAGUGUAACAGGCUGACACAUUUUGCUGUCUUUGAAAACUGAAUAACAAAUGUUUUUGCUAUUUACAAGCCAGAAAUGAAUCGAUGGAUCUGAGUUAGAGAGCACACUCCCAAAACAUGCCAACACAUUUCUGCAUGCACUGCUUGCAAACUCUGCCUUCAUCCAAAUUAACAUCCUAAUUUGUGAAGGCUGCAAAAAAAAAAAAGUAUAAUUCAGAAUACAGAAUUGUUGUAGCUCAAAACAGACUCUCAAAAUUUAUUUUAUAGCUUGCCCACACACAGAGUUCUACCACUCCACUGCUGAGAAUAAAAUGGUAGAACCUCUCUCUAAGGAUUACACCCACCACUUUAUUGCUGAAGAUGCUAGCCUGAAUAAAAUCCAUGAUCGUGCUCUGUUGCAUUCUCUCACUCUGGGAAGUCAAAUUCUCUUCCAGAAGUGACAGUAUAAAAUGUCUGCUUCUUUUACAACAAUGGUGCUUUGUGUACGUAUUCAUAGGCAGACCUUUUGCUUUAAUGACAAAAAAUGGAUUUUUACAAUCCUUGACUCCCACUAGCAUUGAGGAGUCCAUAAAGUUCGGAAAAAAUGAAUUAGAUUCGAUUGUGACUCACAUGUCCUGAUUGAACCACCGCUGCAAACUCCUACUGCAGCAACAAAUCCUGCUAAUUGUGUUGGGCAAACUAACUACACAGCCUGAGCUGAAGGGAAAAUUUAAACUCCCAAAUAAUACACAUAUUUUUGAAUACAUACUGAGUGCUGCUUUCAAGUUCACAUUGUAGUGGCCUACUGAAUCAGUUCUAGCACAGAUUUGGAGGCCUGUGAAUUCCCUCUGAGCUGGAAACUAUACAGAUCGCAUGUGUUCAUCAGCUGCUGGGGUUAUUUUUCUAAGCACUCUUCAAUGUGAGUGGUAGUGAAAGAUUGUAAAAAUCCAUUUAGUACUUGACUAACUGUAGUUCUAAGCACACACUGAAGAAUAUAAUUUCCAUUGCCACUGAAAGCAUGUGUUUGGAAGAACUGUAUCUAUGAAGCCCACCUGAAUCAUUAAGGUAGUGGUGGGACGGUGAGUGGGGGUGGGAGAGGUAUGCUCAGUUUAUAUGAAAAGAACCAUGUCAGGACAGAUUUUUGCCUAUGAGAAAUGUGUGAGGAAGGAUGUAAAGGGAAAAAAAAAAACAUCUCCAUGACAGUCCUCCCUUCCAGGGACUUUGUCUCUUGGAAGAACCUACUGGAGACAAAGGCAUACUGUGCCUUUGCACAGCUUGGGGGCCUUCACAGCUUUCAUCAUUCUUGCAGCCAUCAACCUGCCUGUAAAGGCUAAUGUUUUGCACUGCACUUGUGUAUUAGCUCUCUGACUGCAAGUCGUCACUUCAAGGAGCUUACACCUCACACCAUGCUUCACGAGCACACCACAGCUGAGUUUCAGUGCUGGAUCUUACUAUUUUAAUUAGAUUGCUAAGUACACUGUGGAUGUUGCUGCUAAACUUAUGUUGACCACAGCAUACACAAAGGUAACCCCGAGCAUCCAGGAUCUAAGAGACAAAAAAAUAGUCAGCCCUGUAGUGGGGUUAAAAGGAAGCUAGAUUUGUCUUUGUUCCACAAAGUGUAGCAUAAACUGCAUAAUUAGUCAUUUUGGCCUGAAGCUUUAUCUACAUGACAAUGUAGCACUACUAUUAGUAAUAGCAAUCCAAAGCAUCUUUUCUGAGUUGACAAAAAUAUUAGGUAUGCUAUUUAUAGCAACCAUUGCACACACUGACAUGAGAAAUAAUUGUUACUACAACAUCCCGUUAGUGUUAUUUUUGUAUUCUGUUCCAAUUUGUAUAUAAAUGAAACCUAUGAACAUUUCCUGCACUGACCUCAUGUCUUUGUGUAGAUGGGCUUUAGACCAGAUCCAAGGAAGUGCUAAAUAAUCAUAUAAGCAGCAAGAACAAAUUCAUGGUUGAGCACCAUUAUUCAUCAUGGUGUAAUAUGUGAUCACUGAGCAGGCAGUGGUGAAGAGGAGGCUCAGGGAAGACCUUAGCACUCUGUACAACUCCAUGAAAGGAGGCUGUGGUGAGGUGGGGGUCAGCCUCUUCUCCUGUGUAAGUAGCGAUAGGACUAGAGGGAAUGGUCUCAAGUGCACCCGGGGAGAUUCAGCUUGGUUAUUAGGAAAAAUUUCUUCUCAAAAUGAGUGGUCAGACACUGGAACAGAGUACCCAGGGAGGUGGAGUCACAGUCCAUGGAGGUGCUCAGAAACAUUUAGCUGUGGUACUUAAGGACAUGGUUUAGUGAGAACUAUUGCUGACUAUUGCAGGUAGACGGCUGGACUAUAUCAUCCUGGAGGCCUUUUCCAACCUCAGUGAUUCUAUGAUUCUAUGAACUUUUCCAUGGAUGUGCUUGGAUGAUUUUUCCUUCUCAUUCCUCUUUGUCUCAUCCUCUCUUCUCAUUACUUAUCUUUAAGGAACAGAAACCAGUCUUGACUUGCUACUGAGAAAACUAGGUACAAGGAGAUGCCUUCUACUUUUCCCUCUGAGAACCUAUUCUCAAAGCUAAAGAAAUUGGCUCUAAAUUG
RNAcentral lists this long non-coding RNA (6342 nucleotides) under Gallus gallus (chicken). RNAcentral describes it as "lncRNA (ENSGALG00010006932.1)". The record is from RNAcentral. Lineage: Eukaryota; Metazoa; Chordata; Aves; Galliformes; Phasianidae.